AUGAGUUACCUAAGCUGGAACUGCCGGGGGCUUGGGAACCCCGGGGCAGUUCGAGAGCUUCGCAGUAUUGUUAAGCAAGAAGCGCCCGGUCUCCUGUUUGUCAUGGAGACAAAGAUCGCAGCGGUGAGAGUGGAGAACUUGCGGACAUCGUUGGGUUUCGAGGGAUGUUUUGCGAUUAACAGUGUGGGUCUCAGUGGUGGGAUUGGUAUGUUCUGGUCUCAUGACUUUGACGUAGAGUUAAAGAAUUAUAGUGCCGGCCAUAUUGAUGUCAUGGUGCGAAGGAAAGGCGAUGAUGGAAGAAAAUGGCGAGUGACUGGUUUCUAUGGAUCUCCAAGGGCUGAAGAUAGACAUCAUAGUUGGAGAUUCAUGAGAACUUUGUUUGCAAUCCAACAUGAGGCUUGGAUGUGUAUUGGUGAUUUUAACGAAACUUUGAUGGGAUCGAACACUUUCACGGUCCUCACGUCCGGAAUGGCAAAUGCGAGCAUUCCCUGA
Molecule: ribosomal RNA, 492 nt
Filed under: Triticum aestivum (bread wheat)
Lineage: Eukaryota; Viridiplantae; Streptophyta; Magnoliopsida; Poales; Poaceae
Description: partial small subunit ribosomal RNA
Source: RNAcentral